CACGUCAUUCGUUCUUUCUAAAACAUCAACACAGACCGUCCAAAAAUAUUUUAGCAGACAAAAAACCCCCCCGCAAAAUAAAAAGUAAACGGUCGUAAUACAGUUUGAUGCAUUUUUCACAGGAUAUAAGUACAACAAGUGCUACAGUGUAAGAGACAUUCGGUUGCAGUGGAAACAGAGUCCGCUAACUAGCUGUAGCUAGAAGGCUAACCACUGGAAAACAGCGCAGAGCUGCUGGGGCACAUGAGCCCCACAUGAGGGGGGCAGGGUGGGAGAGAGUGUAGCAGGCCCUGUUCAUCUUGACCAGGCUAAAAGAUGGAUGCGUAGUGAGAAGAGGAGUGGCAGAAAGAACAUUUUCACAGCCCCCAAGAAUAGUAGUUGAGGAUUUUGCUUCCAGCUAUGGAAAAAAAAG
Long non-coding RNA from Sinocyclocheilus grahami, 412 nucleotides. RefSeq lists it as uncharacterized. NCBI's taxonomy places the organism in Eukaryota, Metazoa, Chordata, Actinopteri, Cypriniformes, Cyprinidae. The transcript is spliced from 2 exons. The record is from RefSeq and is a predicted model, not a curated record.